UUAAUUGAAUAGGCAAAGCCGGAGACAGCAGGUGCUAAUAGCUUAAUAUCCUGCCGAGGUUAAAACUCUAAUUGCCAGAAUUACCACCGAUAAAGGUGUGAGAACUAUGGCGUCAGGAGUCUUACUACUUAACCCCGGCUAUGUCAGCUGGGGUUUGUUGUUUUGGAU
This is a non-coding RNA of Nostoc calcicola FACHB-389, 168 nucleotides long. The record is from Rfam. Lineage: Bacteria; Bacillati; Cyanobacteriota; Cyanophyceae; Nostocales; Nostocaceae.